This 346-nucleotide ribosomal RNA is filed under the name uncultured bacterium. Its description in RNAcentral is "bacterial SSU rRNA". It matches the Rfam family "Bacterial small subunit ribosomal RNA", at positions 1155 to 1498 of the family's 1533-position model. The record is from RNAcentral.
CGGAAAUCGGGGAGGAAGGUGGGGAUGACGUCAAGUCCUCAUGGCCUUUAUGUCUAGGGCUACACACGUGCUACAAUGGGCGGUACAAAGGGUUGCGAAGCCGCGAGGUUGAGCUAAUCCCAGAAAACCGUCCUCAGUUCGGAUUGCAGUCUGCAACUCGACUGCAUGAAGGUGGAAUCGCUAGUAAUCCCGGAUCAGCACGCCGGGGUGAAUACGUUCCCGGGCCUUGUACACACCGCCCGUCACAUCACGAAAGUCGGCUGUACCGGAAGCCGGUGGGCUAACCCUCACGGGAGGCAGCUGUCCAUGGUAUGGUCGGCGAUUGGGGUGAAGUCGUAACAAGGUA